AGGUAGCAUGACCUCCACCUGUAGUUAUUGGAGAGGUAAUCACACCUAGAGAACACCAGAGAAGAACUGCGUUGAGGAGGAAAUUCUGCAAAUAUUUUGCUUUCCUUUGGAUCAAGACUGGGAAGAAACUGGAAAGCACAGGAUUUACCACAGCAUGGAAAAUGUGAUUCCUCUCCAGCUCCCGUGCUCGCAGGAGGACCAAAAGCAAUCUGUGCAAUGAGCUAGGCAAAACCUUCCUCGUGUUACACUUUGCGUUCACAAAGAGCUUUUCCACCUGAAGAAUGAGCAGGAGUAGUGUCUCAUGGCUUCCUCUUCAUUCCCGUUGGCUGUUGCCAUUUCCCUGGGGCUUUACAAGGAGCUGUGUUUUCUUCAGAAUGUGGAGACUUUCUUCCCUCUCAGUUUUCCAACAGCACCUCAGGAAGCCAAGGCCCUUGGAAAUGUGGACUCAAAGGGGAAGCAGGUGAUGUGAGCUCGCUGUGAGUAAGGCUGCAGGGUGGCUGCAGAAGAACGGCGUUCCAAGAGCUUCUGAUAUAAACGCCGAUCUGCUGGGGCACGAUCUGACCCUGCUGCUCUUUCUUCUUUCCUCCCUUUCCUUUCCCUGCCUCUUUUAAUUGUGUGUGUCCUUUUCACUGCCCAGUGGGUUGUGUGUUUUGGAUGAGGAGGUACCUCCUGCUCUCUCUUGUGACGGGUUUCAAGGACGGGUCCACCAAGAGCGUUAGGAGAGCAGAUAAAACCUCGGGAACUCUCUGGGUCCAAGUGUGAGUCAUCAGAAGGGUUGAUUUGAAGGGACAGCUGAACUAACAUUGCCUAAGAUGCCUAUUAAAAACAUUGGCAGUCAAAGAA
Molecule: long non-coding RNA, 843 nt
Organism: Pogoniulus pusillus (Red-fronted tinkerbird)
Lineage: Eukaryota; Metazoa; Chordata; Aves; Piciformes; Lybiidae
Exons: 4
Source: RefSeq, a predicted model, not a curated record